UGGGGAAUAUUGCACAAUGGAGGAAACUCUGAUGCAGCGAUGCCGCGUGAGGGAAGAAGGUUUUCGGAUUGUAAACCUCUGUCUUUGGGGACGAUAAUGACGGUACCCAAGGAGGAAGCUCCGGCUAACUACGUGCCAGCAGCCGCGGUAAUACGUAGGGAGCAAGCGUUAUCCGGAAUUACUGGGUGUAAAGGGAGUGUAGGCGGGACUGCAAGUCAGAUGUGAAAAUUAUGGGCUCAACUCAUAACCUGCAUUUGAAACUGUAGUUCUUGAGUGAAGUAGAGGUAAGCGGAAUUCCUAGUGUAGCGGUGAAAUGCGUAGAUAUUAGGAGGAACAUCAGUGGCGAAGGCGGCUUACUGGGCUUUUACUGACGCUGAGGCUCGAAAGCGUGGGGAGCAAACA
This 402-nucleotide ribosomal RNA is filed under the name uncultured bacterium. RNAcentral's name for it is "bacterial SSU rRNA". It matches the Rfam family "Bacterial small subunit ribosomal RNA", at positions 355 to 774 of the family's 1533-position model. The record is from RNAcentral. RNAcentral also lists the same sequence under 1 other name.